AUUUUCUUUCAUUGUCUUUCCCUGACCUGGAAUCUCCCAGAGGUCCUCAGAUCGCUGGCUGAAAACCAGAAGGCAGGAUAUGUGGGAAAACAAUAUUGUGAAGCUCUUAAUGUUCCCUUUGAAGAGAGCAUCAGGAUAGACCCCAAUCUUUUCCUGGAUUCUGGUGAACCACAAAAGUCUCUUCUGCGUGUGCCACACUGCACUCAGAGCUCCCUGAUGGCAG
Molecule: long non-coding RNA, 223 nt
Filed under: Parus major (Great Tit)
Lineage: Eukaryota; Metazoa; Chordata; Aves; Passeriformes; Paridae
Description: lncRNA (ENSPMJG00000001042.1)
Source: RNAcentral